This 497-nucleotide ribosomal RNA is filed under the name uncultured bacterium. RNAcentral's name for it is "partial 16S ribosomal RNA". It matches the Rfam family "Bacterial small subunit ribosomal RNA", at positions 28 to 507 of the family's 1533-position model. The record is from RNAcentral.
GAUGAACGCUGGCGGCGUGCCUAAUACAUGCAAGUCGAGCGAACAGACGAGGAGCUUGCUCCUCUGACGUUAGCGGCGGACGGGUGAGUAACACGUGGAUAACCUACCUAUAAGACUGGGAUAACUUCGGGAAACCGGAGCUAAUACCGGAUAAUAUAUUGAACCGCAUGGUUCAAUAGUGAAAGACGGUUUUGCUGUCACUUAUAGAUGGAUCCCCGCCGCAUUAGCUAGUUGGUAAGGUAACGGCUUACCAAGGCAACGAUGCGUGGCCGACCUGAGAGGGUGAUCGGCCACACUGGAACGGAGACGCGGUCCAGACUCCUAAGGGAGGCAGCAGUAGGGAAUCUUCCGCAAUGGGCGAAAGCUUGACGGAGCAACGCCGCGUGAGUGAUGAAGGUCUUCGGAUCGUAAAACUCUGUUAUUAGGGAAGAACAAAUGUGUAAGUAACUAUGCACGUCUUGACGGUACCUAAUCAGAAAGCCACGGCUAACUACGUG